GGAUCCCAUCCAGGAAGGNGCAGGCGCGUAAAUUACCCAAUCCUGAUACGGGGAGGUAGUGACAAUAAAUAACAAUACGGGGCCCAUCGGGUCUUGUAAUUGGAAUGAGUACAAUAUAAAUCCCUUAACGAGGAUCAAUUGGAGGGCAAGUCUGGUGCCAGCAGCCGCGGUAAUUCCAGCUCCAAUAGCGUAUAUUAAAGUUGUUGCAGUUAAAAAGCUCGUAGUUGGAUUUCUGGUAGGAGUGACCGUGCCGAACUUGAUUGUUCGUGUAUUGUGUCGUCUCCAGCCAUCCUCGUGGAGAACUUUUCUAGCAUUAAUUUGUUGGGAUUGGGACCCGCGUCGUUUACUGUGAAAAAAUUAGAGUGUUUAAAGCAGGCAUUGGCUUGAAUACAUUAGCAUGGAAUAAUAAGAUAGGACUUUGGUACUAUUUUGUUGGUUUGCAUACCAAAUUAAUGAUCAACAGGAACAGUUUGAGGAUAUUCGUAUGAACAUGUCAGGAGGUGAAAUUCUUGGAUUUUGAUCAGACGAACUACUGCGAAAGCAUUUAUCAAGGAUGUUUUCAUUAAUCAAGAACGAAAGUUAGGGGAUCGAAGAUGAUUAGAUACCAUCGG
Molecule: ribosomal RNA, 611 nt
Filed under: uncultured marine stramenopile
Lineage: Eukaryota
Description: SSU rRNA
Rfam family: Eukaryotic small subunit ribosomal RNA
Source: RNAcentral